This 463-nucleotide ribosomal RNA is filed under the name Panolis exquisita. RNAcentral's name for it is "partial 16S ribosomal RNA". The record is from RNAcentral. Lineage: Eukaryota; Metazoa; Arthropoda; Insecta; Lepidoptera; Noctuidae.
UGCCCACUGAUUUAAUUAAUUAAAGGGCUGCAGUAAUUUGACUGUACAAAGGUAGCAUAAUCAUUAGUCAUUUAAUUGAUGACUUGUAUGAAAGAUUGGAUGAAAUAUAAUCUGUCUUUUAUUUAUAUUUAGAAUUUAAUUUUUUAAUUAAAAAGUUAAAAUAAUUUAAAAAGACGAGAAGACCCUAUAGAGUUUUAUAUAUAAAUUAAUUAAAAUUAUUAAUAAAUUAUAUAAAUUAAAAUUAAUUUAUUUAUUUUGUUGGGGUGAUAGAAAAAUAUAUAAAACUUUUUUUUUAAAAAAUACAUAUAUAAAUGAAUAUUUGAUCCUUUAUUAUUGAUUAAAAGAAAAAAUUACCUUAGGGAUAACAGCGUAAUUUUUUUUUUUAGUUCAUAUAAAAAAAAGAGUUUGCGACCUCGAUGUUGGAUUAAGAUAAAAUUUAAAUGCAGAAGUUUAAAGUUUUUGA